Molecule: transfer RNA, 74 nt
Filed under: Methanospirillum sp.
Lineage: Archaea; Methanobacteriati; Methanobacteriota; Methanomicrobia; Methanomicrobiales; Methanospirillaceae
Also listed under: 1 other name
Description: tRNA-Met
Rfam family: tRNA
About the family: Transfer RNA (tRNA) molecules are approximately 80 nucleotides in length. Their secondary structure includes four short double-helical elements and three loops (D, anti-codon, and T loops).
Source: RNAcentral
GCUGCGGUGGCCUAGCCGGUUAAGGCGCCAGACUCAUAAUCUGGAGAUCGAGGGUUCGGAUCCCUCCCGCAGCA